Molecule: transfer RNA, 63 nt
Filed under: Pseudanodonta complanata
Lineage: Eukaryota; Metazoa; Mollusca; Bivalvia; Unionida; Unionidae
Description: tRNA-Ala
Source: RNAcentral
AGUUCUAUACUUUAAAGAAAAGAUUUGAUUUGCAUUCAAACAUUGAAUUUCAUUCUAGAACUA